Molecule: long non-coding RNA, 356 nt
Filed under: Cyanistes caeruleus (blue tit)
Lineage: Eukaryota; Metazoa; Chordata; Aves; Passeriformes; Paridae
Description: lncRNA (ENSCCEG00000001937.1)
Source: RNAcentral
UCUAGCCUCUGGGCUGGAGGGUAUCCGAGGGCAGCAGGAUCUGGAAGGCUCUGGAGCCCUUCCACCUGGCAGGCAAUAAUUCAGAGCUCACACAAAGAGCCUGGGUGAGUCACUAGUCUGCUGAUUAGGCUGCUCUCCUGGGAGGGAGGCACCUGGAUCCCAGACCCAGGAAAGCGAUUGCUCCAGGCUAGUUUUGGCAGAAGAGCUUGUUCCUCAAAAGAAGCAAGGGAUGGAACAAAUUCAGAAGCAGGUCACAGUGAAAUUUUCUGGCUGAAUAGGCAACCGAGUCUGCAAGACUCGUCUCAAAACAUCAUCAACUGCAGGUUUCCCAUUUUUCUCUUUAGCUGUACAAAAUA